CCAGCCGCCGCGGUAAGACGGAGGAUGCAAGCGUUAUCCGGAAUGAUUGGGCGUAAAGCGUCCGCAGGUGGCAGUUCAAGUCUGCUGUCAAAGACCGGGGCUCAACCUCGGAAAGGCAGUGGAAACUGAACAGCUAGAGUAUGGUAGGGGCAAAGGGAAUUCCUGGUGUAGCGGUGAAAUGCGUAGAGAUCAGGAAGAACAUCGGUGGCGAAGGCGCUUUGCUGGACCAUAACUGACACUCAGGGACGAAAGCUAGGGGAGCGAAUGGGAUUAGAUACCCCAGUAGUCCUAGCCGUAAACGAUGGAUACUAGGUGUUGUCUGUAUCGACCCGGACAGUGCCGUAGCUAACGCGUUAAGUAUCCCGCCUGGGGAGUACGCAGGCAACUGUGAAACUCAAAGGAAUUGACGGGGGCCCGCACAAGCGGUGGAGUAUGUGGUUUAAUUCGAUGCAACGCGAAGAACCUUACCAGGACUUGACAUGUCGCGAAUCUUUUGGAAACAGAAGAGUGCCUUAGGGAGCGCGAACACAGGUGGUGCAUGGCUGUCGUCGGCUCGUGUCGUGAGAUGUUGGGUUAAGUCCCGCAACGAGCGCAACCCUCGUGUUUAGUUGCCAUCAUUAAGUUGGGAACUCUAAACAGACUGCCGGUGACAAACCGGAGGAAGGUGGGGAUGACGUCAAGUCAGCAUGCCCCUUACGUCCUGGGCUACACACGUACUACAAUGGUAGGGACAGAGGGCAGCCAACUCGCGAGAGUGAACUAAUCCCGUAAACCCUGCCUCAGUUCAGAUUGCAGGCUGCAACUCGCCUGCAUGAAGGCGGAAUCGCUAGUAAUCGCAGGUCAGCAUACUGCGGUGAAUCCGUUCCCGGGCCUUGUACACACCGCCCGUCACACCAUGGAAGUUGGCCACGCCCGAAGUCAUUACUCUAACCUUUCGAGGGGGAGGAUGCCGAAGGCAGGGCUGAUGACUGGGGUGAAGUCGUAACAAGGUAACCAA
Molecule: ribosomal RNA, 997 nt
Filed under: uncultured cyanobacterium
Lineage: Bacteria; Bacillati; Cyanobacteriota
Description: bacterial SSU rRNA
Rfam family: Bacterial small subunit ribosomal RNA
Source: RNAcentral